Small nucleolar RNA from Hevea brasiliensis (rubber tree), 107 nucleotides. RefSeq annotates it as small nucleolar RNA snoR109. Lineage: Eukaryota; Viridiplantae; Streptophyta; Magnoliopsida; Malpighiales; Euphorbiaceae. The transcript has a single exon. The record is from RefSeq and is a predicted model, not a curated record.
CAGCUGUAGCUCUACUAAUUAUGGUUGACAAGUUAACUGGCCGGUUGUUGUGUGAUAUUUCUUUGAGAACUCCAAUGACAUAUCUACUUACCGACCUUCUCACAUUU